RNAcentral lists this ribosomal RNA (253 nucleotides) under uncultured bacterium. RNAcentral's name for it is "partial 16S ribosomal RNA". It matches the Rfam family "Bacterial small subunit ribosomal RNA", at positions 524 to 776 of the family's 1533-position model. The record is from RNAcentral.
GACGAACCACACAAACGUUAUUCGGAAUUACUGGGCUUAAAGGGUGCGUAGGCGGCGCGGUGAGUUGGGUGUGAAAUCCCUCGGCUCAACCGAGGAAUUGCGCUUGAUACUGCCGUGCUCGAGGGAGACAGAGGUGAGCGGAACUUAGGGUGGAGCGGUGAAAUGCGUUGAUAUCCUAAGGAACACCAGUGGCGAAAGCGGCUCACUGGGUCUCUUCUGACGCUGAGGCACGAAAGCUAGGGGCGCGAACGGG